GCCAAAUAAGAUGGGCUGGAUCAAUAUUCUUAUAUUUCUCUGAUGCUUUUGAUUUGUUCUGUGGGUUACUUUUAUUUCCAUUUUUAAAAUGAAGUUCAAGAGUCUAGGUCCAGCAGACUGGAUUCUACUAUUUUUCUCAUUUUUUCCAUUCUCGUAAUAAUACUUUGUUCAUGGGGACAGCUUAGAGGAAGUUCCCACUUAAUGGAUAAAUAAAAUAGUGCAUUGGUCUUCAGUGACUGAUAAACUAUCAUUUUGGUGUUAUUCUCUGAUGCUAAUGGUGACCUGUACACUGCCUAAGUUUUGUGUAAUGUCAAAAUGCUGUUGUUUUCUUACAUGUGAUGUGCUGGUUAUCUCUGAUUUCGUUCAAGUUUUUUACAGACAGAAUUACUGAGCUAGUCCAGUGUAAAUAUUUGCACAUGCUUAGAUGGAAGAGAUUUUGUACACGCAGCAACGUUAUUGAACAACUUUAUCCUCUCUAUCAGAAGCGAAUUAGUCACAUCAUGGAGGAAUACAGUGAUGCAGUUCAGAGGGCUGCAAGACUUUCGGCUGCAAGGGAAACUUUCCUGACAGGAAAGAAAAAUCCGGUGAAUGUAGUGACACAGGAAGAUAUGAUGAUCUACACCCAGUGGUUAGUGUGUCACUUGCACUCUGUGAAGGGCAUUCACCAUUUUCUUCAGGUUCUCCAGCAUUUGCCUGUUUCUCGCAGAAUGAAUGUGGCUAGGGAGAAAUGUCCUGAUGUGGUCCAAGACAACUGGGACAUGUUAAGAAGUGCUCUUUACAAGAAUUCAGAUAUUUUUAACAUUAAUGUCUCUCUCUGCUCCAGAGUUAUACAAAAAAAUGAAUCCUGCUGCAAGGACGCUGGAUCCACUUUACCCCAGCACAGCACUGAAACAGAGGAGCUGAAACCUCAGCUCCAGCUUCUGCUUGCUCACUUUGACAUCAACUACAGCCUUAAGGAUCUGAAGAAUUCAGCUGAUGAGAUGGAGCUCUUUUUCCUGGUUGUCCAGAAAUUUAGAAGCAUCUUCUGCAAACAGCAGACAAUGAGGACAUUUCCUGUUUAUGAUGCAGAGGUUUCUAGAUCAGAAAACUGGGGCAUGUUAGAUCCAACUAGGGCUUUGAAAAAAAGAGCUAACUGGAUUCCUUUUUUAAGGAUUAAGCCUAAAGUAGAUCCCUGGCAGCAAAAACUUUUGAUAAAACUGAAACAGUGGAAGAAAGUGGAUAAGCUGAUGGACCUUCAUUCAAAAUUUGUAGAGGUAAUAUAACUUCUCAUUUAAAAAAAUCACUUUCUUUUUUUUUUGGACACUUUCAGGGAAAUCGAAAUGCCUAGAGAGAGGUGGC
This 1338-nucleotide long non-coding RNA is filed under the name Struthio camelus australis. RNAcentral describes it as "lncRNA (ENSSCUG00000008863.1)". Lineage: Eukaryota; Metazoa; Chordata; Aves; Struthioniformes; Struthionidae. The record is from RNAcentral.